RNAcentral lists this ribosomal RNA (492 nucleotides) under uncultured bacterium. Its description in RNAcentral is "partial 16S ribosomal RNA". It matches the Rfam family "Bacterial small subunit ribosomal RNA", at positions 28 to 507 of the family's 1533-position model. The record is from RNAcentral.
GAUGAACGCUAGCUACAGGCUUAACACAUGCGAGUCGAGGGGAAACGGCAUUGAGUGCUUGCACUCUUUGGACGUCGACCGGCGCACGGGUGAGUAACGCGUAUCCAACCUUCCCAUUACUGUGGGAUAACCUGCCGAAAGGCGGACUAAUACCGCAUAGUCUUCGAUGACGGCAUCAGAUUUGAAGUAAAGAUUUAUCGGUAAUGGAUGGGGAUGCGUCUGAUUAGCUUGUUGGCGGGGUAACGGCCCACCAAGGCUACGAUCAGUAGGGGUUCUGAGAGGAAGGUCCCCCACAUUGGAACUGAGACACGGUCCAAACUCCUACGGGAGGCAGCAGUGAGGAAUAUUGGUCAAUGGACGGAAGUCUGAACCAGCCAAGUAGCGUGCAGGAUGACGGCCCUAUGGGUUGUAAACUGCUUUUGUAUGGGGAGAAAGUUAGGGACGUGUCCCUAUUUGCAGGUACCAUACGAAUAAGGACCGGCUAAUUCCGUG